RNAcentral lists this ribosomal RNA (274 nucleotides) under uncultured bacterium. Its description in RNAcentral is "partial 16S ribosomal RNA". It matches the Rfam family "Bacterial small subunit ribosomal RNA", at positions 523 to 796 of the family's 1533-position model. The record is from RNAcentral.
AUACGGAUGGUGCGAGCGUUGUUCGGAAUUACUGGGCGUAAAGGGCGCGUAGGCGGCGAUGUAAGUCAAAUGUGAAAGUCCUCGGCUUAACCGGGGAAGUGCAUCUGAAACUGCAUUGCUCGAGUAUGGGAGAGGAAAGUGGAAUUCCCGGUGUAGAGGUGAAAUUCGUAGAGAUCGGGAGGAAUACCGGUGGCGAAGGCGACUUUCUGGACCAAUACUGACGCUGAGGCGCGAAAGCGUGGGGAGCAAACAGGAUUAGAAACCCUAGUAGUCC